UCUUCAGAAGAUUUGGAAAAAGAGCAACAUUAAUAUUAGUUUGCUGGUGCUUUUUUUUUUUGGCAUUUGGAGAUUAAAAGUUUUAGUGCAUGCAUUAUGUUGAAAAGAACAGUGAGAAUGUUCGUAAGACGUACAAAUUCAUAUAAAUUAGCUACUAAUUCAUCAAAAUGUAGAAUAGAGGAAACCGGUAUUUGAAGGAACUGACAAAAAUGUACAGUUUUGCUUCAGAAGACUCAGAAGCAGAGUCAUUUGGACCACUUUAAUACCGAUCUGUCAAGUUGAAAAGAUUUGUCAGUUUCUUUCAGAAGUCUGGCUCUUGGCAUUGGCAUUCAGAACUUUCCAGAAGGCCUUGCCGUGAGUCUCCCGUUGAGGGGUUCUGGGGUGUCCACAUGGAGAUCCUUUUGAAAGCAGUGUGUGACGGCCUUCGCCGCAGGAUCCAUGGUAGAUGUGGUGGUUGAUGACAUCAUCAAGGCCAAGUCAGCGGGAAGGGGAAACUGGCCUCCUGGACGUCCAUUCUGGGCUUCAUCAUCAUGCUGUUACUGGAUAUGGGGCUUGACUGAGCCUUUUCAUUGGACAAAUCUUCGAAUGUCAGCUGACUGCAUUGAAAAAAGUGACGGAAGCAGCCUUUCUCCUCGGUGGACAGGUUUGAUCAGUGGGAUAUUUUUCUGCUUA
Molecule: long non-coding RNA, 672 nt
Organism: Carassius gibelio (silver crucian carp)
Lineage: Eukaryota; Metazoa; Chordata; Actinopteri; Cypriniformes; Cyprinidae
Exons: 3
Source: RefSeq, a predicted model, not a curated record